GUUGUUGUUUGGUUCACCCUUUAAACAUCGUUACCAGACAGUGUUAGAGUAGAUCCAAGAAAUCCAGCACUGUCUAGUAAGAUGCCCACAGAGGACCACGGUCUGUCCAGCAGCUGGAGAAAUGGAGCAGCUAUUAAUGAUUCCACGUUCUUCAGGAUGGCAGUGGUCCAUGAAAAAUAAUGGAAAUGGCUUGAGAAAGAUUGCCUCGUAUCACUGAGCAUGGAAGUAAUUUACCAGCAGGGCAAGUUUGCUGUAGCACAUCAUACAACAGAGAAGGUCAAGACCUAGCCUGAGGGGGUCCCUUACCUGAGAGCUCUGUGCCACUGUAAGGAUGCUGGAUUUCUGUCUGACCCCCUGCACAUGCAGGAGAUGGGCAUCAGGGUUUGUUCUCCUCCCUUCCCUGGCCCCUGGUUGCAAGCUGUACCUCUUGAGGUACUAUCGUGCAAUAGCAAGAGAGCUCUGCUCCAAGCUGUGCUGCAUGGGCACUGUUCUACUGCAUGCAAUAUUUAUCAUAGCCCUAAGACACUGUGGAUCCAGCACAAUAUUUCACCGGGCAUAUGCAGGCUGUGUAUAAGACUCAACUGUAACACAACUCAGCUCAUCCAGGCUACACAUCCAUGAUUUUUUUCACUUCUGAAUAGGGUUCAAGGACCAGGCCAGCCUUCACGUGAGGAAUUAAACGCUGCAGCACAGUGUGUGCCUGUAGGAGACCCUGGGUGGGAAGCGGGGUUGCUGCCUGUGUCCUGGAGUGCUUCACACCUGCCAGGUACACUGAAACACCUGCCCAUAACGCCCCGCCUGAUAAAAGCAUCUAUCAGCAGUAAUAACCUUUCUUGGUGAUAGCCAUUAUACAGCACCUCUAGUAUCUGAUAACUGGAGGAGUUAAACUUCCUGGAUUGCUUUAAUUCUCAGAAAAAGAACAAAAAGCGUAUGUGAACCAUUGAAGACAACAUUCCCACAUUAAGUCCUUUUAGGCUGAGCUAGUUCUUUCCAAGUAACUUUAGCCAGUACCACUGGUUUGUGGAAAGAAACCUCACAAAGUAAAAAUCAAGUCCAUUGUAACUUAAAACGUAUGAUAGAGGUCAUCCACUAAAAUAAAAACAACAAUCAGGGGGAAGGGAAGUUAAGUGUCCCUCCCGCCCUCUCUCACACCAAAAAGUAAUAAAUGGAAAUAAAAAUAUAUCUGUAUAAAAAUAAAAGAAAUAACAUAUACGUUACUUAAAAAUUCAAGAUUUUAAACUAAAUGGCUUUGCUAUUAGAACAUCUUGCUGGAGGACAGCAGUCUAGAGGAACUAUGUGAAAAGGAAGGAGUAAGUUACCAUAGCAAAGCUGAAAAAGUAAAUUCCACUAUCGAUUUCAGGUGUUUGUUUCUUAAAUUUUCUUAUACUUAGAGAGAGAAGAACAUUUUGAUUUUGAGAGAAAAUUAUGAGCUAGAAAACUCAAAUGUUAAAUUUCAGUAAAAUGUUUUCUUUCAUUCUCUUGAAAGCUACCAUAAUUUGAAAGUAAAUAGAAUCUAUUUGGAGAAGAGCACUUGCAUUUGUCUUUGCUACAAAACUUAGCAUUUUCCUUUGAAUGUGUUCUUAUCAUUGCAGUAUCAAACAUAUGCUAUCCUUUAUAUUCUGCAUGAUUUUCUAUUUACAAGCUCAUUUAAAAUAAAAUUAUUUCAUAAUUAUUUCAAAAUUAUUUCAGAAUUCUACAGUCAGGACGAGAUUUUCUUAUAUUUGCUUUUAUCUUUUAUUCUAGCACAUGAAACAUUUCAUUAUAAAUUUAAUCAUGCUUGGGGAGGCUCGACAGUCAAUCAAGCAUGGAUUUCUCUACUGGCCACUAACCUCUGCUUCCGAAUUUGCUGUUGAACUUUUCCACGUUGUACACGAAACACCAUAAUCAUCAUUACCAGGCAGUAUUAGAAAAACAGAAAACAUCCAAUGCUGCCCAGUAAGAUGGUAAUGGCAUCUCAGGAUCAUGGUCUACAAGCAGUAGGUAUAGCACAAGCUAGAAAGCCUCAUUAUUGGGAGAAGGAAAAAGAGGGGGAAAAACACUACCUGUAGCUGUCCCUCCUCCUUUGUGGUUUCGACAAUUACCAAAUACUGUUCAUGUGGGAGAGGAGGAUGUAAUGACAUUCUGAAAAAUUAUCCCAGAAGUACUUGUACAGGUCACGAUACACACAGGUCCUACCUCUUCCCACCAUCCCCUGGCUCCCCACGCACAACCUUCAGAGCUGU
Long non-coding RNA from Anas platyrhynchos (mallard), 2222 nucleotides. RefSeq lists it as uncharacterized. The record is from RefSeq and is a predicted model, not a curated record. NCBI's taxonomy places the organism in Eukaryota, Metazoa, Chordata, Aves, Anseriformes, Anatidae.